ACGAACGCUGGCGGCGUGCUUAACACCUGCAAGUCGAACGGAAAGGCCCUGCUUUUGUGGGGUGCUCGAGUGGCGAACGGGUGAGUAACACGUGAGUAACCUGCCCUUGACUUUGGGAUAACUUCAGGAAACUGGGGCUAAUACCGGAUAGGAGCUCCUGCUGCAUGGUGGGGGUUGGAAAGUUUCGGCGGUUGGGGAUGGACUCGCGGCUUAUCAGCUUGUUGGUGGGGUAGUGGCUUACCAAGGCUUUGACGGGUAGCCGGCCUGAGAGGGUGACCGGCCACAUUGGGACUGAGAUACGGCCCAGACUCCUACGGGAGGCAGCAGUGGGGAAUAUUGAACAAUGGGCGGAAGCCUGAUGCAGCAACGCCGCGUGCGGGAUGACGGCCUUCGGGUUGUAAACCGCUUUCGCCUGUGACGAAGCGUGAGUGACGGUAAUGGGUAAAGAAGCACCGGCUAACUACGUG
Molecule: ribosomal RNA, 467 nt
Filed under: uncultured bacterium
Lineage: Bacteria
Description: partial 16S ribosomal RNA
Rfam family: Bacterial small subunit ribosomal RNA
Source: RNAcentral